Molecule: ribosomal RNA, 497 nt
Filed under: uncultured bacterium
Lineage: Bacteria
Description: partial 16S ribosomal RNA
Rfam family: Bacterial small subunit ribosomal RNA
Source: RNAcentral
GAUGAACGCUGGCGGCGUGCCUAAUACAUGCAAGUCGAGCGAACGGACGAGAAGCUUGCUCUUCUGAUGUUAGCGGCGGACGGGUGAGUAACACGUGGAUAACCUACCUAUAAGACUGGGAUAACUUCGGGAAACCGGAGCUAAUACCGGAUAAUAUUUUGAACCGCAUGGUUAAAAAGUGAAAGACGGUCUUGCUGUCACUUAUAGAUGGAUCCGCGCUGCAUUAGCUAGUUGGUAAGGUAACGGCUUACCAAGGCAACGAUGCAUAGCCGACCUGAGAGGGUGAUCGGCCACACUGGAACUGAGACACGGUCCAGACUCCUACGGGAGGCAGCAGUAGGGAAUCUUCCGCAAUGGGCGAAAGCCUGACGGAGCAACGCCGCGUGAGUGAUGAAGGUCUUCGGAUCGUAAAACUCUGUUAUUAGGGAAGAACAAAUGUGUAAGUAACUAUGCACAUCUUGACGGUACCUAAUCAGAAAGCCACGGCUAACUACGUG